AAGAUAUUUAAAACGGAGUUUCGCAGUAACUGGUCAUUACUUGAAUCAUUUCUUCAACAUAUCAAAAAUCAAAAUGUCAAAAUUCAUUUUGCUGUUAUCAAUUUUGAUGUUGGUUUGCCUUUAUGCUAAUGCAGAUCAAGAUUGUAGAGGCAAACCGUGCCAAAGUGGUAGUGAUUGUUGCCCGCAGUACUCGUGUGCAAAAUUUAAGCUCCCAUGGUCUUGCAUAUCUUAUACGGGAUCAACAGCCCUUACAACCCGACGUCAAAAAUGACGCAGUUCUUUGAUGCGAUUCUGCAUCUCAUCAACGGCUGCAGCAAUAAAUAAAAAAAAAAAUUAAUUAAAUAAAGAUGACCAACAUAUUUGUUUUACUUUUAGACUUAUCAUCAAAUAUGAUUAUUAUUGUGUAGUACGACGAUGUCUUGAAAAUAAAGAAAAUUUUUCUGGGUAAAAACUAAA
Molecule: long non-coding RNA, 456 nt
Organism: Microplitis mediator
Lineage: Eukaryota; Metazoa; Arthropoda; Insecta; Hymenoptera; Braconidae
Exons: 4
Source: RefSeq, a predicted model, not a curated record